RNAcentral lists this ribosomal RNA (492 nucleotides) under uncultured bacterium. RNAcentral describes it as "bacterial SSU rRNA". It matches the Rfam family "Bacterial small subunit ribosomal RNA", at positions 30 to 523 of the family's 1533-position model. The record is from RNAcentral.
AUUGAACGCUGGCGGAAUGCUUUACACAUGCAAGUCGAACGGCAGCACGGGGCAACCUGGUGGCGAGUGGCGAACGGGUGAGUAAUACAUCGGAACGUGCCCAAUCGUGGGGGAUAACGUAGCGAAAGUUACGCUAAUACCGCAUACGAUCUACGGAUGAAAGCGGGGGAUCGCAAGACCUCGCGCGAGUGGAGCGGCCGAUGUCAGAUUAGGUAGUUGGUGGGGUAAAGGCUCACCAAGCCAACGAUCUGUAGCUGGUCUGAGAGGACGACCAGCCACACUGGAACUGAGACACGGUCCAGACUCCUACGGGAGGCAGCAGUGGGGAAUUUUGGACAAUGGGCGCAAGCCUGAUCCAGCCAUUCCGCGUGCAGGAUGAAGGCCUCGGUUGUAACUGCUUUGUACGGUACGAACGGCGAGCUCUAAUACAGUUGCUAAUGACGGUACCGUAAGAAUAAGCACCGGCUAACUACGUGCCAGCAGCCGCGGUAA